GAUCCAAAAUUCAAGUUAGACUUGGUACAAAAGAUCUAAACAGUUUGAAAUUGACAGCCUUUUAAAAUUAUUUCGAACCAGCUUCGAAUUGGAUUCGAAUCGGACUCGUUUUAAUGAGAUAUGAGAAUUCUCACUUACACUGAGAUUCUUCUCUCAUGUGGGCUGACCAACAUCUGGAAUGGUGCUGGUUUGAGGCAUCCCAUA
This 204-nucleotide long non-coding RNA is filed under the name Elaeis guineensis (African oil palm). Its description in RNAcentral is "long non-coding RNA (EGUI_LNC045231)". Lineage: Eukaryota; Viridiplantae; Streptophyta; Magnoliopsida; Arecales; Arecaceae. The record is from RNAcentral.